This is a long non-coding RNA of Sebastes umbrosus (honeycomb rockfish), 147 nucleotides long. RefSeq lists it as uncharacterized. The transcript has 2 exons. The record is from RefSeq and is a predicted model, not a curated record. Lineage: Eukaryota; Metazoa; Chordata; Actinopteri; Perciformes; Sebastidae.
AGGCAACAAAACUACAACUUCUUUAGGUUUAGGCAACAAAACUAAAACGUUUUAGGUUUAGGCAACAAAAACACUUAAUAAGGUUUAGAGAACAAAACUACAAGUAUUUUAGGUUUAGGCAAUAAAACUACAACUAUUUUAGGUUUA